Molecule: ribosomal RNA, 1214 nt
Filed under: Methanosarcina mazei
Lineage: Archaea; Methanobacteriati; Methanobacteriota; Methanomicrobia; Methanosarcinales; Methanosarcinaceae
Description: bacterial SSU rRNA
Rfam family: Archaeal small subunit ribosomal RNA
Source: RNAcentral
AAAACAGUGAUAACCUGCCCUUGGGACCGGCAUAACCCCGGGAAACUGGGGAUAAUUCCGGAUAACGCAUAUUUGCUGGAAUGCUUUAUGCGUCAAAAGGAUUCGUCUGCCCAAGGAUGGGUCUGCGGCCUAUCAGGUAGUAGUGGGUGUAAUGUACCUACUAGCCAGCGACGGGUACGGGUUGUGAGAGCAAGAGCCCGGAGAUGGAUUCUGAGACAUGAAUCCAGGCCCUACGGGGCGCAGCAGGCGCGAAAACUUUACAAUGCGGGAAACCGUGAUAAGGGGACACCGAGUGCCAGCAUCAUAUGCUGGCUGUCCGGAUGUGUAAAAUACAUCCGUUAGCAAGGGCCGGGCAAGACCGGUGCCAGCCGCCGCGGUAACACCGGCGGCCCGAGUGGUGAUCGUGAUUAUUGGGUCUAAAGGGUCCGUAGCCGGUUUGGUCAGUCCUCCGGGAAAUCUGAUAGCUCAACUAUUAGGCUUUCGGGGGAUACUGCCAGACUUGGAACCGGGAGAGGUAAGAGGUACUACAGGGGUAGGAGUGAAAUCUUGUAAUCCCUGUGGGACCACCUGUGGCGAAGGCGUCUUACCAGAACGGGUUCGACGGUGAGGGACGAAAGCUGGGGGCACGAACCGGAUUAGAUACCCGGGUAGUCCCAGCCGUAAACGAUGCUCGCUAGGUGUCAGGCAUGGCGCGACCGUGUCUGGUGCCGCAGGGAAGCCGUGAAGCGAGCCACCUGGGAAGUACGGCCGCAAGGCUGAAACUUAAAGGAAUUGGCGGGGGAGCACAACAACGGGUGGAGCCUGCGGUUUAAUUGGACUCAACGCCGGACAACUCACCGGGGGCGACAGCAAUAUGUAGGCCAAGCUGAAGACUUUGCCUGAAUCGCUGAGAGGAGGUGCAUGGCCGUCGCCAGUUCGUACUGUGAAGCAUCCUGUUAAGUCAGGCAACGAGCGAGACCCGUGCCCACUGUUACCAGCAUGUCCUCCGGGACGAUGGGUACUCUGUGGGGACCGCCGAUGUUAAAUCGGAGGAAGGUGCGGGCCACGGUAGGUCAGUAUGCCCCGAAUCUCCCGGGCUACACGCGGGCUACAAUGGAUGGGACAAUGGGUCCCUCCCCUGAAAAGGGCUGGUAAUCUCACAAACCCAUUCGUAGUUCGGAUCGAGGGCUGUAACUCGCCCUCGUGAAGCUGGAAUCCGUAGUAAUCGCGUUCAA